Molecule: ribosomal RNA, 402 nt
Filed under: uncultured bacterium
Lineage: Bacteria
Also listed under: 1 other name
Description: bacterial SSU rRNA
Rfam family: Bacterial small subunit ribosomal RNA
Source: RNAcentral
UGGGGAAUAUUGGACAAUGGGCGAAAGCCUGAUCCAGCAAUGCCGCGUGGGUGAAGAAGGUCUUCGGAUUGUAAAGCCCUUUCGACGGGGACGAUGAUGACGGUACCCGUAGAAGAAGCCCCGGCUAACUUCGUGCCAGCAGCCGCGGUAAUACGAAGGGGGCUAGCGUUACUCGGAUUGACUGGGCGUAAAGGGCGCGUAGGCGGCUUGUACAGUCAGACGUGAAAUUCCUGGGCUCAACCUGGGGGCUGCGUUUGAUACGUGCGGGCUUGAGUUCGGAAGAGGGUCGUGGAAUUCCCAGUGUAGAGGUGAAAUUCGUAGAUAUUGGGAAGAACACCGGUGGCGAAGGCGGCGACCUGGUCCGAUACUGACGCUGAGGCGCGAAAGCGUGGGGAGCAAACA